RNAcentral lists this ribosomal RNA (219 nucleotides) under Triticum aestivum (bread wheat). RNAcentral describes it as "partial small subunit ribosomal RNA". The record is from RNAcentral. Lineage: Eukaryota; Viridiplantae; Streptophyta; Magnoliopsida; Poales; Poaceae.
AUGAAUCUUUUAAGUUGGAACUGCCGGGGGGCGGGGAACUCCCGGACAAUUCGAGAAGUAGCGACAUUUAUCCAGUUGCAUUCCCCUAGCUUGGUGUUUUUAUGUGAAACUAGGCAACCAAAGGAGAAAAUGAAGAGGUACAGGAAAAGAUUUGGUUUGAAAGGUUUUGAGGGGUUGAGCAUUGGCAACAGUGGAGGGCUAGCUCUAUAUUGGAAUGAG